This 72-nucleotide transfer RNA is filed under the name Petaurista caniceps (gray-headed giant flying squirrel). RNAcentral's name for it is "Petaurista elegans caniceps tRNA-Gln". It matches the Rfam family "tRNA". Rfam says of the family: Transfer RNA (tRNA) molecules are approximately 80 nucleotides in length. Their secondary structure includes four short double-helical elements and three loops (D, anti-codon, and T loops). The record is from RNAcentral. Lineage: Eukaryota; Metazoa; Chordata; Mammalia; Rodentia; Sciuridae.
UAGGACGUGGUGUAAGAGGUAGCACAGAGAAUUUUGAAUUCUCGGGUUUAGGUUCAAUUCCUAUAGUUCUAG